UCCCUGCUGGUUCAGAGGGUAGAGCGUCUGCCUGCAAUGCAGGAGACCCGGGUUCGAUUCCUGGGUCGGGAA
RNAcentral lists this transfer RNA (72 nucleotides) under Capra hircus (goat). It matches the Rfam family "tRNA". From Rfam's summary of the family: Transfer RNA (tRNA) molecules are approximately 80 nucleotides in length. Their secondary structure includes four short double-helical elements and three loops (D, anti-codon, and T loops). Lineage: Eukaryota; Metazoa; Chordata; Mammalia; Artiodactyla; Bovidae. The record is from Rfam by way of RNAcentral. RNAcentral also lists the same sequence under 1 other name.